AAAGAAAACUAACAAGGAUUCCCCUAGUAACUGCGAGUGAAGCGGGAAAAGCUCAAAUUUAAAAUCUGGUGGUCUUUGGCCAUCCGAGUUGUAAUCUAGAGAAGUGUUACCCGCGUCGGACCGUGUAUAAGUCUCCUGGAAUGGAGCGUCAUAGAGGGUGAGAAUCCCGUCUUUGACACGGACUACCGAGGCUUUGUGGUGCGCUCUCAACGAGUCGAGUUGUUUGGGAAUGCAGCUCAAAAUGGGUGGUAAAUUCCAUCUAAAGCUAAAUAUUGGCGAGAGACCGAUAGCGAACAAGUACCGUGAGGGAAAGAUGAAAAGAACUUUGGAAAGAGAGUUAAACAGUACGUGAAAUUGCUGAAAGGGAAACGCUUGAAGUCAGUCGCGUUGGCCGGAAAUCAGCCUUGCUUUUGCUGGGUGUACUUUCUGGUUGACGGGCCAGCAUCAGUUUUGACCGGUGGAAAAAGUCUGAGGGAAUGUGGCAUCUUCGGAUGUGUUAUAGCCCUUUUUCGUAUACAUCGGUUGGGACUGAGGAACUCAGCACGCCGAAAGGCCGGGUCUUUGACCACGUUCGUGCUUAGGAUGCUGGCAUAAUGGCUUUAAUCGACCCGUCUUGAAACACGGACCAAGGAGUCUAACAUGCCUGCGAGUGUUUGGGUGGAAAACCCGGACGCGUAAUGAAAGUGAAAGUUGAGAUCCCUGUCAUGGGGAGCAUCGACGCCCGGACCAGAAGUUUUCUGACGGCCCUGCGGUAGAGCAUGUAUGUUGGGACCCGAAAGAUGGUGAACUAUGCCUGAAUAGGGUGAAGCCAGAGGAAACUCUGGUGGAGGCUCGUAGCGAUUCUGACGUGCAAAUCGAUCGUCAAAUUUGGGUAUAGGGGCGAAAGACUAAUCGAACCAUCU
This 902-nucleotide ribosomal RNA is filed under the name Psathyrella squamifera. RNAcentral describes it as "eukaryotic LSU rRNA". It matches the Rfam family "Eukaryotic large subunit ribosomal RNA", at positions 56 to 945 of the family's 3401-position model. The record is from RNAcentral. Lineage: Eukaryota; Fungi; Basidiomycota; Agaricomycetes; Agaricales; Psathyrellaceae.